GCGGCUACUUUAUCAGAUGGGGCAGGGGGGUUCGAUUCUUGAGAAGCGGAAGUGAAGUGACGGGUGAAGACUGAGGAUUUGGUUAGUGAUCUUGUAGAGUUAUGAAGGAGGGUUUUGUGGAAUCUCGUUAAAUGUGUAUAAAUGAAUCGCAAAUUCCUCAUUUUGAAUUGAAGAGCAGAUUUUGGUUUUUGAUUUUGUAUUUGGAUAGAUAAUACUGUGAACUGCUAUAUGAUCAUUACGGCAAGUAGAGGAAGAGCUCACUAAGUCACUGAGUUCAUAGCAUUGAAG
RNAcentral lists this unclassified non-coding RNA (288 nucleotides) under Hevea brasiliensis (rubber tree). The record is from RNAcentral. Lineage: Eukaryota; Viridiplantae; Streptophyta; Magnoliopsida; Malpighiales; Euphorbiaceae.